UACGAAGGGGGCUAGCGUUGUUCGGAAUUACUGGGCGUAAAGCGCACGUAGGCGGAAUGUUAAGUCAGGGGUGAAAUCCCGGGGCUCAACCCCGGAACUGCCUUUGAUACUGGCAUUCUCGAGUCCGGAAGAGGUGAGUGGAAUUCCGAGUGUAGAGGUGAAAUUCGUAGAUAUUCGCAAGAACACCAGUGGCGAAGGCGGCUCACUGGCCCGAUACUGACGCUGAGGUGCGAAAGCGUGGGGAGCAAACAGG
This 253-nucleotide ribosomal RNA is filed under the name uncultured bacterium. RNAcentral describes it as "partial 16S ribosomal RNA". It matches the Rfam family "Bacterial small subunit ribosomal RNA", at positions 524 to 776 of the family's 1533-position model. The record is from RNAcentral.